This 75-nucleotide transfer RNA is filed under the name bacterium. RNAcentral's name for it is "tRNA-Ile". It matches the Rfam family "tRNA". From Rfam's summary of the family: Transfer RNA (tRNA) molecules are approximately 80 nucleotides in length. Their secondary structure includes four short double-helical elements and three loops (D, anti-codon, and T loops). Further hydrogen bonds mediate the characteristic L-shaped molecular structure. tRNAs have two regions of fundamental functional importance: the anti-codon, which is responsible for specific mRNA codon recognition, and the 3' end, to which the tRNAs corresponding amino acid is attached (by aminoacyl-tRNA synthetases). tRNAs cope with the degeneracy of the genetic code in two manners: having more than one tRNA (with a specific anti-codon) for a particular amino acid; and 'wobble' base-pairing, i.e. permitting non-standard base-pairing at the 3rd anti-codon position. The record is from RNAcentral.
GGGCACAUAGCUCAACGGCAGAGCAGUCGUCUUAUAAGCGACCGGUUCCAGGUUCGAAUCCUGGUGUGCCCACCA